UGGAGAACCUGGUGUCACAUUGGCAAUCACUGAUCUACAGGUGAUGGUGUAUCCUGACACAGUGACAGAGGGACAGAGUGUGAGACUGACCUGUAGCACCACCUGCACUCUGACUGGCAGCCUUCAUCUGGUACAGGGACGGAUCUCCUCUGUCCUUCACUGGUCGGAGUCACCAAUUCAGAGCCAGCAGUGAAGACCGAGGCCGCUACACCUGUGCUGUGAAUGGCUAUGAGCUUCAGUCCCCUGCAGUGGCUCUUAAUGUGAGAUAUGCUCCCAAGAACACCUCAGUAUCAGUGAGCCCCUCUGGUGAAAUAGUGGAGGGCAGUUCAGUGACUCUGACCUGCAGCAUUGAUGCCAACCCACCAGUGCAGAACUACACCUGGUUUAAGAAGAAUGACACUGGAGUCUGGCAGGCAGGAUCAGGACGGAGUUUGAACUUUUCUAACUUUAGAUUCUGGAACAGAGGACAGUACUACUGUGAGGCACGGAAUAAACAUGGAGGUCAGAAUUCUGCUCAAUCAACACAGAAGUAGGGGAUAGGACAGUGCUUGUGUGGACGGUUGUUGGAAUCACAGUGGCUGUUGCACUCGUUGCUGCUGUUGCGUGUAUGAGAGCAGAGCCUUCGGGGAGUGACAAACGCAGCCA
This is a long non-coding RNA of Anguilla anguilla (European eel), 645 nucleotides long. RefSeq lists it as uncharacterized. The record is from RefSeq and is a predicted model, not a curated record. NCBI's taxonomy places the organism in Eukaryota, Metazoa, Chordata, Actinopteri, Anguilliformes, Anguillidae. The transcript is spliced from 5 exons.